Molecule: long non-coding RNA, 884 nt
Filed under: Equus asinus (donkey)
Lineage: Eukaryota; Metazoa; Chordata; Mammalia; Perissodactyla; Equidae
Description: lncRNA (ENSEASG00005037512.1)
Source: RNAcentral
AACAUGACUAACAAUAAUGUAAAACUGAAAUUUCACAAGGUUGUAAACUAUCAUAAUCUUAAUUUUAAAAAAACUCAAAAAAAAAAAAAGGUUGAUUGGACACUUACCACAUGACCCAGCAAUUCUACUAGUAGGUAACCUACCCGAGAGGAAUGAAAACAUAUGUCUGUGCAAAGACUUGUACAUAAAUAUUCACAGCAAGACUAUUAUAAGAGCCAAAAUGGGAAGCAAUUAAAUGUUCAUCAGUUGAUGAAUGGAUAAGCAGUUGUGGUCCAUCCAUGGACUACUUCUCAGCAAUACAGAAGAGCAAACUACUGACACACACAGUCACUUGGAUGAACCUCAAGAACACUAUAGUAAGUUAAAGAAGCCAGACACAAAAGAUUACAUACCAAAUGGUUCCAUUUAUAGGAAAUUUCUAGAAAAGGUCUUUUGCAGUGAGCAUAGCAUCAUAAUGAGAAAAAAAACCCAGUUAUCUCUCCCCAAAUGAUUGAGCACUUUGUAAGACCACAGUACUGCACUAAGUAAUGUGAGGAAUAAAAAGAACAGAAUUCCUUCUCUUUUGGAGCUUUCACUAAGACGCAAAUCAAUUGAUAUAUUAUGUGAUAAUUUUUUAUUGCCUGUUAUGUGUCAAAUACUUCAUUUCACUUCACAUACUCUAUCUCCUUUAAUCCAAACAUAAGGAAGAUGUAUAAGUUCACUUGAUGGUAUAUUAUUCAAUAAUUUUAAGUGUUGUUAAUGAUGAACACAGCGAUGCAUAUUUUAUAAUAGCAAGUUACAAAAAAGAUAAAAACAGGCAGACAAAAAUCUGUGCAUAAAGACUAAGUAGAAUGCAGUCUAGAUAGCAAUAAUUUUUUUGUACCUUUUAAAUUUACUGUUAUAAG